AACAAAGUGAUGCAGGUUGCUCUUGGUCGUGAUGAAUUCCGUUCUGGUAUCUACAAGUCUCCAAGAUCAACAAACAAGCUUGACUAUGAUCAUCCAAAUUCUGUUUGAUGAAUGCUUAGCCAAGUUCCAAUAAUUGAUGGAAUUUAUCUUGAGGCUUAUCUACCACCAAAGAAGUUACUUCAGCGAGAAAGAUAUUCACAGAGCACACGUAACAAGCCUUCACAUGAUCACUCAGAGACUGAGCUAAGCAAUGCUCACGGCGAGGUGAUUGAACAAGGCUUCAAGCUGGAAUGGUUGAAGUUAAAGCUUGAUGAGGUUUCCUUAAAGAGGAAGAAAUUAGAUGUUGAUGUCCUACAACUCGAUGAACGUGUUAAGAAUAUUGAGCUGAUGAGAUUGGACUUCAAGCUGGAUUGUUUGAAGACAAAUCUUGAGGAGGUGUCCUUGGAGAGGAAGAAAUCAGACGAUGCUUGAUGUCUCGGGUCCAACAACUCGAGGAAUGCUUCAAGAACCUUGAGAUGAUUGUGUUGGAUCUCAAAGUUAAAUUGGACAAGGAGGAGGCCAAAUCUUCUGCUGAUGAUUUUUUGUUGAUCAAUGAGGUUGAAUGACGUAGAGAUUCUAAUAGUCAAAAUUAGUCUUUAUCAAAAGACCUGCUUAAUGCUUAUGUUGAUGGUUUUAUGCUUUAUUUUUCUCUGCUCCACUUUUGGAUAUUUUUCUUCAAUCAUAUUUUUUGUUUUUGUGGUAAGAUUCAAUCCAAAAAUUAAUGAGCAAAUCAAUUCGUUU
Long non-coding RNA from Arabidopsis lyrata subsp. lyrata, 780 nucleotides. RefSeq lists it as uncharacterized. The record is from RefSeq and is a predicted model, not a curated record. The transcript has 3 exons. Lineage: Eukaryota; Viridiplantae; Streptophyta; Magnoliopsida; Brassicales; Brassicaceae.